UUUGGCGGUAGGCAGGCACGAUGGGUACGCCUGCCCAGUGAAUUAAAUUUUAACGGCCGCGGUAUCCUAACCGUGCAAAGGUAGCGCAAUCACUUGUUCUUUAAAUAAGGACUAGUAUGAACGGCACCAUGAGGAUCCACUUGUCUCUCAUAAUAAGCCUAUGAAACUGAUCUUCCAGUACAAAAGCUGGAAUAAACACACAAGACGAGAAGACCCUGUGGAGCUUCAAACCAAACUCACCAUACAUGAGCUGCGGUUUUUAGUUGGGGCGACUCUGGAGCAAAACAAAACCUCCAAACUUUACAUCCUUAGGCCAACAUGCCACCAUUAACCCCCCCCACGACCCAAUAUAAUUGAAUAAUGAACCAAGUUACCCCAGGGAUAACAGCGCCAUCUUCUUCUAGAGUCCCUAUCGCCAAGAAGGUUUACGACCUCGAUGUUGGAUCAGGGUACCCAAAUGGUGCAGCCGCUAUUAAAGGUUCGUUUGUUCAACGAUUAACAACCCUACGUGAUUGGUACAAACACCGGAUUUUAAAUUUUUCCUCCGACUUUUUUUGUUCUAUGGAGAAGCACCACCUACUAAACAUAACAGCUGUCGAUCCUCUCUUAAAUCGAGGGGACAGGAGGCGACACCGCGCCUAUCCAAAUAUUUGUCCUGAAUAUUUGGCACAAAAAAAAAAUUUAAAA
This 687-nucleotide ribosomal RNA is filed under the name Amphisbaenidae sp. 111 KGRC-2012. Its description in RNAcentral is "partial 16S ribosomal RNA". It matches the Rfam family "Bacterial large subunit ribosomal RNA", at positions 1827 to 2831 of the family's 2925-position model. Lineage: Eukaryota; Metazoa; Chordata; Lepidosauria; Squamata; Amphisbaenidae. The record is from RNAcentral.